Molecule: ribosomal RNA, 253 nt
Filed under: uncultured cyanobacterium
Lineage: Bacteria; Bacillati; Cyanobacteriota
Description: partial 16S ribosomal RNA
Rfam family: Bacterial small subunit ribosomal RNA
Source: RNAcentral
UACGGGGGGUGCAAGCGUUGUCCGGAAUCAUUGGGCGUAAAGAGUUCGUAGGCGGCACGUAAAGUCUGGUGUUAAAGGCAGAGGCUCAACUUCUGUACGGCACUGGAUACUUGCGAGCUAGAAUGCGGUAGAGGUAAAGGGAAUUCCUGGUGUAGCGGUGGAAUGCGUAGAUAUUAGGAGGAACAUCAGUGGCGAAGGCGACUUUCUGGACUGUAACUGACGCUGAGGCACGAAAGUGUGGGGAGCAAACAGG